RNAcentral lists this ribosomal RNA (468 nucleotides) under uncultured bacterium. RNAcentral describes it as "partial 16S ribosomal RNA". It matches the Rfam family "Bacterial small subunit ribosomal RNA", at positions 28 to 507 of the family's 1533-position model. The record is from RNAcentral.
GACGAACGCUGGCGGCGUGCUUAACACAUGCAAGUCGAACGGAAAGGCCCUGCUUUUGUGGGGUGCUCGAGUGGCGAACGGGUGAGUAACACGUGAGUAACCUGUCCUUGACUUUGGGAUAACUUCAGGAAACUGGGGCUAAUACCGGAUAGGAGCUCCUGCUGCGUGGUGGGGGUUGGAAAGUUUCGGCGGUUGGGGAUGGACUCGCGGCUUAUCAGCUUGUUGGUGGGGUAGUGGCUUACCAAGGCUUUGACGGGUAGCCGGCCUGAGAGGGUGACCGGCCACAUUGGGACUGAGAUACGGCCCAGACUCCUACGGGAGGCAGCAGUGGGGAAUAUUGCACAAUGGGCGGAAGCCUGAUGCAGCAACGCCGCGUGCGGGAUGACGGCCUUCGGGUUGUAAACCGCUUUCGCCUGUGACGAAGCGUGAGUGACGGUAAUGGGUAAAGAAGCACCGGCUAACUACGUG